This 502-nucleotide long non-coding RNA is filed under the name Mytilus galloprovincialis (Mediterranean mussel). The record is from RNAcentral. Lineage: Eukaryota; Metazoa; Mollusca; Bivalvia; Mytilida; Mytilidae.
AGAUUUUAAACCUAUUAAAACUGUAAUUUUUGUAGAUUCUUUGUCAGCUCUUCAAGCCAUCAGAGCUCCUAUUUUUAAAGUAAAGAAUCAAAUUUUAUACGAUAUUCAUUUAAUUUUGACUUCACUUAAAAAGGGUGGAUCAGAAAUUAUAUUUGAAUGGAUACCAAGUCAUGUCGGAGUAAUGGGCAACGAAAGUGCAGAUUUACAAGCCAAAAACGCACUUAAUUUAGACAACUGCAUAGAUUUUAUACCUCUCUUUAAAGAAGACAUUAAAACUGUCUGUAAAAAUUUUCUGAAAAAUUCAUGGCAAAAAGAUUGGGAAACAAACAAAGAUAGGUCAUUAUUUAAAAUUAUUGAUAAAGUAAAUUUUCAAAUUAAUAUUCCAAAUUUAACAAGAGAGAAAGAAAUAUUACUCUUCAAAUUAAGAACAGGAUAUAUUGGACUAAAUAAGCACCUGAAUAAAAUUGGAGUAGUUACCUCAAAUCUAUGUAUAAACUGCAAC